Molecule: ribosomal RNA, 301 nt
Filed under: uncultured bacterium
Lineage: Bacteria
Description: partial 16S ribosomal RNA
Rfam family: Bacterial small subunit ribosomal RNA
Source: RNAcentral
CAGCCGCCACGGUAACACGUAGGUGGCAAGCGUUGUCCGGAAUUAUUGGGCGUAAAGGGCUCGCAGGCGGUUUCUUAAGUCUGAUGUGAAAGCCCCCGGCUCAACCGGGGAGGGUCAUUGGAAACUGGGAAACUUGAGUGCAGAAGAGGAGAGUGGAAUUCCACGUGUAGCGGUGAAAUGCGUAGAGAUGUGGAGGAACACCAGUGGCGAAGGCGACUCUCUGGUCUGUAACUGACGCUGAGGAGCGAAAGCGUGGGGAGCGAACAGGAUUAGAUACCCCAGUAGUCCCUGUCUCUUAUAC